AAACCGUUGAAAGGGAAGCGAAUGGAGUUAGCAAUUCGCCCUACCAGAUUCAGUUGUCCGCGCUUCGCGACGAGCACGCUCUCGAUCCGCAUGGACGAGACGUGCCCGGAAGCGACGUGUGAACCGCGCACUUCUGGCGGGCGAGCGUGUCAGCGUGGGUUGCCUACGAGCGAGAAGGUCGCGUGCAAGGUAGACGCACCCGCUUGGGCGCGUUGUUAAGACUCGCGUAUGCAUAGCUCGACGGCGACCGUGGCUUGUAUUCUCGACGACGCGUGCCUGGCUGGCGACUCGUGUGAUCGGUUCGACAUGACGACCGUGGCGGACGGCACGCCUGUGCGCUCGAACUGCUGCCGGUCGCUCACACGAUGCUCGCACACUACUCGUCGAAGAUGCUGACGACCAUACGGCUCCAUCCGACCCGUCUUGAAACACGGACCAAGGAGUCUAACAUGUGCGCGAGUCUCCGGGUGAUCGAUCAGGUAAAGCGAAUGAUUAGAGGUCUUA
Molecule: ribosomal RNA, 504 nt
Filed under: Lobophytum crassum
Lineage: Eukaryota; Metazoa; Cnidaria; Anthozoa; Malacalcyonacea; Alcyoniidae
Description: eukaryotic LSU rRNA
Source: RNAcentral